GAGGAAUAUUGGUCAAUGGGCGAGAGCCUGAACCAGCCAAGUAGCGUGAGUGAUGAAGGCCUUCGGGUUGUAAAGCUCUGUCUUCAGGGACGAUAAUGACGGUACCUGAGGAGGAAGCCACGGCUAACUACGUGCCAGCAGCCGCGGUAAUACGUAGGUGGCAAGCGUCGUCCGGAUUUACUGGGCGUAAAGGGAGCGUAGGCGGAUACUUAAGUGGGAUGUGAAAUACCUGGGCUUAACUUGGGUGCUGCAUUCCAAACUGGGUGUCUAGAGUGUUGGAGAGGAAAGUGGAAUUCCUAGUGUAGCGGUGAAAUGCGUAGAGAUUAGGAAGAACACCAGUGGCGAAGGCGACUUUCUGGACAAUAACUGACGCUGAGGCUCGAAAGCGUGGGGAGCAAAC
This 400-nucleotide ribosomal RNA is filed under the name uncultured bacterium. RNAcentral describes it as "bacterial SSU rRNA". It matches the Rfam family "Bacterial small subunit ribosomal RNA", at positions 356 to 773 of the family's 1533-position model. The record is from RNAcentral.